This is a non-coding RNA of Misgurnus anguillicaudatus (oriental weatherfish), 1664 nucleotides long. Lineage: Eukaryota; Metazoa; Chordata; Actinopteri; Cypriniformes; Cobitidae. The record is from RefSeq and is a predicted model, not a curated record.
UAUCAGAAGGUUGAUGUUCUUCAGGAUGAUCUUCUCUAGAUCCACAUAUUCUUCAUAUUCUCUCUGAGCUUCUGCAUUCAUUUCUUCCUCCUGUUUUGGUGGCUUUACUGUCUCCUGACAACAACAAAUGAUGAUCCUCAGAGACUCUCAACACAUCUCCCCUAAAUCUUUGGAUUAUCAGACUAAAUCCCUCAGUACAGGUGUGUGUUUGGAUGUGUCUUACUGUACAGUCGGCCUGAAUCGUUGUCCUUCUCCAUCUUCCAGUCGGUGUAAAUGAGUUCUCCAUCCUUACAAGUUUAGUGCUGAUGUUCUCCAGUGGUUUCUGCUGUUUGGCUGAAGGUACACGCUGCUCUCCUAAUCCAGAACCUUCUUCAUGACCUGCGUUCUGUGCUGGUUUCUCUCCUAGAAAGUGAUGAGACGUUAAAUGUUUCAGGCAGCCACUGGAGAUCUGUGAUGGGUGCUUUGUGUUGAUUCUCUACAGCAGACAGAACACAGAACUGAACCACUGGAAUCUUAUUCUUCUUGUUCUGCACGGAAACAUCGGAUUAGAUUUAAAAGGAAGUGUCAUAUGACCUGCUGUAAAUGACAUACACUGCAAAAAAUGACUUUCUUUCUUAGUAUUUUUGUCUUGUUUUUAGGACAAAUAUCUAAAAAUUCUUAAAUCAAGAUGUACUUUCUUGAUGAGCAAAAUGACCUUAGAAAAAAGUCUAGAUUUUAGACAAAAAAAAACAUACAUUUGUGCUUAAAACAACCAAAACAUAUCUGCCAAUGGGGUGAGAAUUUUUUUCUUGAAUUAACUGUUUGUUGAAUUAAGAUUUUUGCUUACCCCAUUGUCAUAUUUUUUUGCUUGUUUUAGGCACAAAUUCAAUUAAAUUUAAUGUUUUUUCUCUUAGAAAAAAAAACAUACCAUAACCAUAAAUGAGGGAGAAUAAAACUAAAUCUGAUGCUGCACAAAAAUUUAAAAUGCAUCAAAGCUAGUGUUUUUACUAAUCUUUGACAGGUGAAAAAGGUGAAAGAUGUGUAGUCCACAAUCACUUUUUAUAUAUUGAAAAUCAGUAAUUUUGUGUCCCCCCUCCCAAAUCAGUGACAUCACUUAUGAACUUGGCAAUUAAAGAGUUAAAGUCAUGUAAUUUUGUAAACAUUUGGUAGUUUUGAACAGCUGAGGUUAAAUAACAGAUUCAUGCAAAAAAAAUAUGAAUCUGCUACAUUUUUACAGCAAUUUAAUUUAGUGGCUUUUUGGCCACUAACAACACAAAUGAAUUUGAACAAUGCACAAGGGGUUAAUAGAUGCCCUUUAAGAAUUUUUGAUAUGUGUAUUGAAAACACUGCCUAAUGUCUGGGGACAUCUCAUGAUGAAGCUGCUUAUAAAUCAAACUGGAUGAUGUUUAUUUGAAAAUGUAAAAAUGCCAAAUGUUGUCUGUGAGGGUUUUUUUCUGGGGAGGAGGUGAGAUGGUGCCAGGGGGUCCCAGUUUAUGAUAUUUUUUAAAACUACAUUAAUUUAUCACAAUUUCUGUGUUAUCAAACCAACAGCACUAUGUAUUAUUUAAUAUGUUUUGUUUAAUUCAAAUUCUCAUGAGAACCCGUGGGAUAGGGGAAGGGGAUUAAGCAUUUUUUAUGUACUUUGUACGCUAUAAAAACUAUUACGUCUGUGAAAUGUCCCCAUU